This 871-nucleotide ribosomal RNA is filed under the name Pseudomonas sp. T3943D. RNAcentral's name for it is "bacterial SSU rRNA". It matches the Rfam family "Bacterial small subunit ribosomal RNA", at positions 35 to 905 of the family's 1533-position model. The record is from RNAcentral. Lineage: Bacteria; Pseudomonadati; Pseudomonadota; Gammaproteobacteria; Pseudomonadales; Pseudomonadaceae.
CCUGGCGGCGGCCUACACAUGCAAGUCGAGCGGAUGAGAGGAGCUUGCUCCUUGAUUCAGCGGCGGACGGGUGAGUAAUGCCUAGGAAUCUGCCUGGUAGUGGGGGAUAACGUUCCGAAAGGAACGCUAAUACCGCAUACGUCCUACGGGAGAAAGCAGGGGACCUUCGGGCCUUGCGCUAUCAGAUGAGCCUAGGUCGGAUUAGCUAGUUGGUGAGGUAAUGGCUCACCAAGGCGACGAUCCGUAACUGGUCUGAGAGGAUGAUCAGUCACACUGGAACUGAGACACGGUCCAGACUCCUACGGGAGGCAGCAGUGGGGAAUAUUGGACAAUGGGCGAAAGCCUGAUCCAGCCAUGCCGCGUGUGUGAAGAAGGUCUUCGGAUUGUAAAGCACUUUAAGUUGGGAGGAAGGGUUGUACGUUAAUACCGUGCAAUUUUGACGUUACCGACAGAAUAAGCACCGGCUAACUUCGUGCCAGCAGCCGCGGUAAUACGAAGGGUGCAAGCGUUAAUCGGAAUUACUGGGCGUAAAGCGCGCGUAGGUGGUUCAGUAAGUUGGAUGUGAAAUCCCCGGGCUCAACCUGGGAACUGCAUCCAAAACUGCUGAGCUAGAGUACGGUAGAGGGUGGUGGAAUUUCCUGUGUAGCGGUGAAAUGCGUAGAUAUAGGAAGGAACACCAGUGGCGAAGGCGACCACCUGGACUGAUACUGACACUGAGGUGCGAAAGCGUGGGGAGCAAACAGGAUUAGAUACCCUGGUAGUCCACGCCGUAAACGAUGUCAACUAGCCGUUGGGUUCCUUGAGAACUUAGUGGCGCAGCUAACGCAUUAAGUUGACCGCCUGGGGAGUACGGCCGCAAGUUAAACUCCAA